UACGGAGGGGGCUAGCGUUGUUCGGAAUUACUGGGCGUAAAGCGCACGUAGGCGGCUUUGUAAGUUAGAGGUGAAAGCCCGGGGCUCAACUCCGGAAUUGCCUUUAAGACUGCAUCGCUAGAAUUGUGGAGAGGUAAGUGGAAUUCCGAGUGUAGAGGUGAAAUUCGUAGAUAUUCGGAAGAACACCGGUGGCGAAGGCGGGUCUCUGGGCAGUAACUGACGCUGAGGAGCGAAAGCGUGGGGAGCGAACAGG
RNAcentral lists this ribosomal RNA (253 nucleotides) under uncultured bacterium. Its description in RNAcentral is "partial 16S ribosomal RNA". It matches the Rfam family "Bacterial small subunit ribosomal RNA", at positions 524 to 776 of the family's 1533-position model. The record is from RNAcentral.